Molecule: unclassified non-coding RNA, 270 nt
Filed under: Hevea brasiliensis (rubber tree)
Lineage: Eukaryota; Viridiplantae; Streptophyta; Magnoliopsida; Malpighiales; Euphorbiaceae
Source: RNAcentral
AAAAAAAAAAAAAAAAAAAGAUCAGACCAUAACUAAGAGUAACUUAAUAAUUUUGUAAAUGUCCCAACAUGCCUUGAAUCUCAUGCUAUGACUUGGAUAAGUACAUUUCUGUGUAGUUCCUUUGUCAUUGACAGUUUGGUGGGCAUGCUCGUAAUUCAACUUUUGAAGAUGUAAUGCAUAACUUUUACCUUUUUUAUUAUUAUUAUUAUGGACAGUCCAACAACGGAUGCCAUGGAAAUAGAAGACCCUCCUGCAGACGAAGCCACCACG